UGGGAAAGAACAGGCCCUAACCUCCUCUUGUGCAAUCCUGGUGGUUCCUGGUUUUAUUUAUCAGAUUAUAUCCCAUCCAAGUCACCUCCAGAGCCACCCUAAAUAUCUCACUGGAAAAAGAGGAAAAAUAUUUUGUGUCAACCCGUUGAGGUAUAACUUGAAAGAUUACUCUCAUCAAAACAGUACAUUCCUGCUGCUAGGACAGACUUCUAGGACAGACAGACUCUCCUGGAAGCCCACAUCUGUGUUCGUGGGCUGCCUAUCCAUUCCCCCAAAAAGCUUUCUUUCUACUUUUAACAAACUCCAUCUCUGAUUCCAGUGGUUUCUCUUGAACUUCUUCCUGCAUUGAAGUCAAGGAUCAGUAUCCUUGAAAGGCCCCUGAAAGGUUGAGGGAACUCCUCUGACCACAGCUCUCCCCACUGUGGAGACCCUACUGCACCACACUCAUCUUUCUGGGAUGUAUGGGGGCGGGGCAUGUUAGGGCAGAAGAGUCCUCUGAAAGAGUAACAAGUGUUUGUAACUGCUGUGUUGUCUCUCCAGUUCCAGGCUCUCUGAAUCCUGAAGUCUCAGUCUUCCAGCUUCAGCCUUUGACUUCAUAUAUGGUCACAUUUAUUUAGCUUUCAUCGUAGGGAAAUUCUGGAGGGCUUGGGGAAAUGACUAGGCAGGCAAGAACAUCUGAUGACCAAGCUUGAAGACUACGGUUCAAAUCUCUAGUAUGCGUGUAAGAAGCUGGGCAUAGUCACACUUACAGGUAACCCCAGUGAUGUGCAAGAUGGAGACAGGAGGAUUACCCGGGCUUGUCUACUGCCAACCUAGCUCUGGAUUCGCUGAGAGGUCAUCCUGUAGGGGACAAGGCAGAGAGUGACAAAGCAGGACACCUGCCUUCCUCCUCUGACCUCUACAUGUGCACAGGUGUACAAAGCAACUAACACAUAUGUGUAACAACACACACACACACACACACACAGACACCAGGUCCAUCUUGACUAUGAAGUUCAUGAGUCUAUGAAACUUUGGUGCUGAGAGAUAAACCCAGACUUUGAAGUCAGACUUAUGCCAACUACUAAAGCACGUGUGACAUUGGGCAAGCCAAGCUGCCUCGCCUCUCUAAACAUUGGUUCUUCAUGUGAGAGCCCAGGUGUGGAUCUGGGAGAUGACUUAGCUGGUAAAGUGCUUGCCCUGCAACCAUGAGGACUUGAGUUUAAUGCCCAGAAUCCACACUAAAGAGAAAAACAAAACAAACACAUACACAAAAAAACCUAGAAGUGUUGGCUUACACUUGUAGUUCUAGUACUUGGGACUUGGACUUUGGUGAUUUCAAUAUGCUUGCCCCAGGGAGUGGCACUAUUAGGAAGUGUGGCCUUGUUGGAGGAAGUAUGUCACUGUGGGGGUAGGCUUGGAGACCCUCAUUCUAGAUGCCUGGAAGCUAGUCUCCUGUCUGCCUUUGGAUGAAGACUUAGAACUCUCAGCUCCUCCUGCAACAUGCUUGCAUGAAUGCUGCCAAUGCUUCUUGCCUUGAUGAUAAUGGGCUAAACCUCUGAACCUGUAAGCCAGCCCCAAUGAAACGCUGUCCUUACAAGAGUUGCCUUGGUCAUGGUGUCUGUUCACAGCAGUAAAACCCUAACUAAGACAAGGACUCAGGUAGAUAGAUCCCUUGGCCUCACUGGCCAGUCAGUCUAGUCUGCUUGGUGAGGUCAGAUCAAAGAGUCUCAAAAAAAUAAUACAGAUAGUAUGAAGAAAGGACACCUGGGAUUGCCUUCUGGCCUUUCACACACAUGUAUACACAUACAAGCAACACAUACACACAGGCACCCAUAGGCAUAUGUGCACACAUACACUCACACAAAAGGUUCAAAGCCAACUGCCAAGCAUUGCCCCGAGUAUGGAGCAUGAAACUGCUUAUAUAACAUAUGGGAGAGAGAGAGAGCCUGGUGCGGGGCAGGUGCCAAGGUAAAUAUCCGAUCCAGCUGCUCUCUAUCCACUCCAGUUUCUGAUGGGUCAAAAGCACAGCCGGUAAUAAACACAAUGUUGCCUCUGUCUUCGCUUCCUUUCACUCCUGGGGUCCUGCUUCAGACAGAAGGAAGCAACAGCAAAUAUCAGAGAACCCUAUUGAAAGUGUCACUCAUCCAUUGAAACGUCCUUUCUAUUCAAGAAUGUGAUGAUUAAUUAUUCAUUGCUUUUGGAGUUGAAAGCAAGGACAGGGCUCUCUGCCUAAAAGCCAGAGCUUGACAACAGUAGAUUUUCAACGGCCAGAUUUUGGUCAUGGACUGGUUCCUAUGGGAUGGACCCCAAGUCUCAGAUGUGCAGGGCCGAGAGGCAUGCAAACUUCAAAUGGAGCGAUUGCUCCGUGCCCUCCGUGCCUGCGAUGGAUCUCUGGGAGUUAAUUCCCUGCAUGGGUGGCCCGAGUCCUUUGGCCUCCAGCCCCAUGGCUCAUUCCGCCACUCUGGGCAAGCAGUAACCGCCCACCCCAGUGCAAGUCUUUCUUUCACGGCUCAUGGCAUGAACAACUCAUUAAUUCUCCAGGGCCGAGGUUGGGGAUUACGUCAGUCUUACACCCCACUGUAAGUGGUCUAAAUGCCAGGGUAGCCGUGUUUGCAGGGCUGCAUUCGUGCCAGGGGUGCAGAUCUAUCAAUACAUAGUUCUGAAAUAUGCUUCUCUUCCAUCGGGUGUGCUUCUCCUGGGCAGCAGAUUUCAAAAUGGAAGCUCAGUGCCUAGCCAGAACGCAGGCUCGGGAGCGCCUGGAGGACUCUUCGGGCCUCUUCAGGGUAGGUGAGAUCUUGCUUGCUAUGUCCCCAGGAGGAACAGGAGGCAGAGCUAAGCCAGGCGGUGUGGAGUUUCACACAUGUCCCCAAAGACGAGCUUCCUGUGGUGUAGACACGGGACUGCUGCGGGAGGAGGGGGAGUGUCGGGCAAAGGAGGCACAGUGACACAUUUCCUGAGGCCCUGGGCUGUGAGCCUGCACAGCGGGGACAGAGUGCCAUCUGGUGGUCACUGGCUAGCAUUGCAGGUACCAUCCGGGCCUUUUUCUCAUUAAUGGAGAACUCAGAGGGAACUCAUUUGGGCUUUUUAAAGAUCUGUUUCAAAACACCAACGGAAGACAAGGAGGUCAGAUGUGCCCGCUCCUACUCAUCAUUAUACCUCCGGAUACUCACUGCCUCACAUCCUUCUUGAACCAGACAACGACUUCAAUGGCUUCAAGGCCAGUUUUGUUUAGUUUUUAGAGACAGGGUCUCAAACUUGCUAUGUGUUCAAGAAAGACCUUGAGGUUUUGGUUCUCCUGUUUCCACCUCCUGAGUGCUUGAAUUAUAGAGGCACAUCAUCACACCAUCGUGCUGGGGAUCAAACCCAGGACUUCACGGCUGAUAGGCUUGGCAACCGUCGUGGAAGAGAGAUGAAAAGACUAUAACACCCAGAGAUCGGGAAGGGGCCAAGGGAAAUGUCUUCCGGACACGACUGGACUGCGGCACCCCUGAACGCAUGGCCAUUGUGGUUACCUGCGCAAGAUCAAGUUGUCUAUAUUGUAGAAUGGAAGGGGCGUGGUGUGGAAGGGGAGGGGCGUGGAAGGGGAGGGACGUGGAAGGGAAGGGGAGGGGCAUGAACGGGGUAGGGCUUAGGAACUACUGACAGUUGAUAUCUUCUAGGAGAGGAAUUAUCAGUUUUUGUUAAGUGUACAGCCCCUGGUUGGUUAAUCAUGCUCCAGUGGCUAGCCCUACACUCAGGAGUAAAUGGGCAGUGCAAAUUCAUCUGUUGAAAAAAAAAAAAAGAGGAAAGGAAAUAAACAACAAAAUCAAGUGCAUAAACUUGGGGGAGGGCAGAAUACAGGUGGAUCUGGGAGGGGUUGGGGCAGAACGAUGGGGUGAAUAUAAUCAAAAUGUAUCGUAAACGUGUAUGAAAAUCUCAAGAGAUUGAUUAAAAUACAUUUAAAAUACUUCGUAUGAAUUUAGGGGAACAAAGCCGUGUGCUAUUUUAGGUAGGUGUUUUUGCAGGGGUUGGGGGGGGUGUGAAUAAAGACUCCCGUGGUUCAGGCUGGCUGCCAACCUAGGAUGCAGCCUGUAUCACCAUGUAACCUCGGAUGACCUUGAAUUCUGACCCUCCAGCUUCUGCCUCCCAAGUGCUAGGAUUAUAGGCAUGUACCACGUCUGGUUUAUACAGUUCUGAGGUUUGAACCUUUGGCUUCACAUAUACUAGGCAACCAGUCUAACCAGACCCCAUCUCUAGCCCCUCAGUGAAAUUUCGUGCUUUGAUGGAAUAGUACACAUCACACAGGAAAGGGCAAAUUACAACCAACAGUCAGGGUUGCCACCAUCUGUGUUUAUAAAUAAAACUUUAUUAGCACACAA
Mus musculus (house mouse) is the source of this 4340-nucleotide long non-coding RNA. RefSeq annotates it as predicted gene, 51605. NCBI's taxonomy places the organism in Eukaryota, Metazoa, Chordata, Mammalia, Rodentia, Muridae. The transcript is spliced from 2 exons. The record is from RefSeq and is a predicted model, not a curated record.